Molecule: ribosomal RNA, 700 nt
Filed under: uncultured Methylophilus sp.
Lineage: Bacteria; Pseudomonadati; Pseudomonadota; Betaproteobacteria; Nitrosomonadales; Methylophilaceae
Description: bacterial SSU rRNA
Rfam family: Bacterial small subunit ribosomal RNA
Source: RNAcentral
UAAACGAUGUCUACUAGUUGUUGGUGGAGUAAAAUCCAUGAGUAACGCAGCUAACGCGUGAAGUAGACCGCCUGGGGAGUACGGUCGCAAGAUUAAAACUCAAAUGAAUUGACGGGGGCCCGCACAAGCGGUGGAUUAUGUGGAUUAAUUCGAUGCAACGCGAAAAACCUUACCUGGCCUUGACAUGUACCGAAUUUGGGAGAGAUUCCUUAGUGCUCGAAAGAGAACGGUAACACAGGUGCUGCAUGGCUGUCGUCAGCUCGUGUCGUGAGAUGUUGGGUUAAGUCCCGCAACGAGCGCAACCCUUGCCAUUAAUUGCCAUCAUUUAGUUGGGCACUUUAAUGGGACUGCCGGUGACAAACCGGAGGAAGGUGGGGAUGACGUCAAGUCCUCAUGGCCCUUAUGGCCAGGGCUUCACACGUAAUACAAUGGUCGGUACAGAGGGUUGCCAACCCGCGAGGGGGAGCCAAUCCCAGAAAGCCGAUCGUAGUCCGGAUUGUAGUCUGCAACUCGACUACAUGAAGUCGGAAUCGCUAGUAAUCGCGGAUCAGCAUGUCGCGGUGAAUACGUUCCCGGGCCUUGUACACACCGCCCGUCACACCAUGGGAGUGGGUUUUACCAGAAGUAGGUAGUCUAACCGUAAGGAGGACGCUUACCACGGUAGUAUUCAUGACUGGGGUGAAGUCGUAACAAGGUAACC